RNAcentral lists this ribosomal RNA (1407 nucleotides) under uncultured bacterium. RNAcentral describes it as "16S ribosomal RNA". It matches the Rfam family "Bacterial small subunit ribosomal RNA". The record is from RNAcentral.
AGAGUUUGAUCAUGGCUCAGGACGAACGCUGGCGGCGUGCCUAAUACAUGCAAGUAGAACGCUGAAGAGAGGAGCUUGCUCUUCUUGGAUGAGUUGCGAACGGGUGAGUAACGCGUAGGUAACCUGCCUUGUAGCGGGGGAUAACUAUUGGAAACGAUAGCUAAUACCGCAUAACAAUAGGUGACACAUGUCAUUUAUUUGAAAGGGGCAAUUGCUCCACUACAAGAUGGACCUGCGUUGUAUUAGCUAGUAGGUGAGGUAACGGCUCACCUAGGCGACGAUACAUAGCCGACCUGAGAGGGUGAUCGGCCACACUGGGACUGAGACACGGCCCAGACUCCUACGGGAGGCAGCAGUAGGGAAUCUUCGGCAAUGGGGGCAACCCUGACCGAGCAACGCCGCGUGAGUGAAGAAGGUUUUCGGAUCGUAAAGCUCUGUUGUAAGUCAAGAACGAGUGUGAGAGUGGAAAGUUCACACUGUGACGGUAGCUUACCAGAAAGGGACGGCUAACUACGUGCCAGCAGCCGCGGUAAUACGUAGGUCCCGAGCGUUGUCCGGAUUUAUUGGGCGUAAAGCGAGCGCAGGCGGUUUGAUAAGUCUGAAGUUAAAGGCUGUGGCUCAACCAUAGUUCGCUUUGGAAACUGUCAAACUUGAGUGCAGAAGGGGAGAGUGGAAUUCCAUGUGUAGCGGUGAAAUGCGUAGAUAUAUGGAGGAACACCGGUGGCGAAAGCGGCUCUCUGGUCUGUAACUGACGCUGAGGCUCGAAAGCGUGGGGAGCGAACAGGAUUAGAUACCCUGGUAGUCCACGCCGUAAACGAUGAGUGCUAGGUGUUGGAUCCUUUCCGGGAUUCAGUGCCGCAGCUAACGCAUUAAGCACUCCGCCUGGGGAGUACGACCGCAAGGUUGAAACUCAAAGGAAUUGACGGGGGCCCGCACAAGCGGUGGAGCAUGUGGUUUAAUUCGAAGCAACGCGAAGAACCUUACCAGGUCUUGACAUCCCGAUGCUAUUUCUAGAGAUAGAAAGUUACUUCGGUACAUCGGUGACAGGUGGUGCACGGUUGUCGUCAGCUCGUGUCGUGAGAUGUUGGGUUAAGUCCCGCAACGAGCGCAACCCCUACUGUUAGUUGCCAUCAUUCAGUUGGGCACUCUAGCGAGACUGCCGGUAAUAAACCGGAGGAAGGUGGGGAUGACGUCAAAUCAUCAUGCCCCUUAUGACCUGGGCUACACACGUGCUACAAUGGUUGGUACAACGAGUUGCGAGUCGGUGACGGCAAGCUAAUCUCUUAAAGCCAAUCUCAGUUCGGAUUGUAGGCUGCAACUCGCCUACAUGAAGUCGGAAUCGCUAGUAAUCGCGGAUCAGCACGCCGCGGUGAAUACGUUCCCGGGCCUUGCACACACCGCCCGUCA